UUGGUAGAUGCCUUGGCACUAGAAGGCGAUGAAGGACGUAAUACGCUGCGAUAAGCUUCGGGGAGUUGCGAAUAAAUUUUGAUCCGAAGAUUUCCGAAUGGGGAAACCCACCUAAUUUAUUAGGUAUUGUAUAGUGAAUACAUAGCUAUAUGAGGCAAACCCAGCGAACUGAAAUAUCUAAGUAGCUGGAGGAAAGGACAUCAACCGAGACUCCGUUAGUAGUGACGAGCGAACGCGGACCAGGCCAGUGGCUUCAAAAAAAUAACUAAAACAACAUGGAAAGGUUGACCAUAGAAGGUGAUAGUCCCGUAUAGGUAAAAAGUUUGAAGUCCUUGAGUAAGGCGGGACACGUGAAAUCCUGUUUGAACAUAGGGGGACCACCCUCUAAGCCUAAGUACUCUCUAGUGACCGAUAGUGAACAAGUACCGUGAGGGAAAGGUGAAAAGUACCCCGACAAGGGGAGUGAAAUAGUAUCUGAAACCAAAUGCUUACAAGCAGUCGGAGCAAGCGUAUUUAUAUGUCUUGUGACGGCGUACCUUUUGUAUAAUGGGUCCGCGAGUUUCUGUUGGCAGCAAG
RNAcentral lists this ribosomal RNA (576 nucleotides) under Tetraselmis striata. Its description in RNAcentral is "partial Bacterial large subunit ribosomal RNA". It matches the Rfam family "Bacterial large subunit ribosomal RNA", at positions 21 to 644 of the family's 2925-position model. Lineage: Eukaryota; Viridiplantae; Chlorophyta; Chlorodendrophyceae; Chlorodendrales; Chlorodendraceae. The record is from RNAcentral.